UAACGCGUGAGCAAUCUGCCCUUAAGAGGGGGAUAACAGUCGGAAACGGCUGCUAAUACCGCAUAAAGCAUCAAAUUCGCAUGUUUUUGAUGCCAAAGGAGCAAUCCGCUUUUAGAUGAGCUCGCGUCUGAUUAGCUGGUUGGCGGGGUAACGGCCCACCAAGGCGACGAUCAGUAGCCGGACUGAGAGGUUGAACGGCCACAUUGGGACUGAGACACGGCCCAG
This 225-nucleotide ribosomal RNA is filed under the name uncultured bacterium. RNAcentral describes it as "partial 16S ribosomal RNA". It matches the Rfam family "Bacterial small subunit ribosomal RNA", at positions 111 to 334 of the family's 1533-position model. The record is from RNAcentral.